CAAGUGGACCCAAAAUUUCUUAAUGCAGAAAAUGAGCUCCGAAGGAUAUUUGGUUCUAAAGUGGUGAAUUCAUUCGAAAAAGGUCAUCAAACUGGAAGUUCCAGACAGUCAAGAGGUGGAAGACGUGGGAGCCAGAGCCAUCGAAAGACUAUUCUUGUUUGUCCUUUAGAACAUUGGCCAAAGUGGGAUGGAUCACUGUCGAUGGAACUUGUGGAAACCAGAGAUGGGAUAUCUGAUUUUAGGUAUGUACAUACAUCAUCCUAUAGCCAAGCCCAGAAAGCAUUUGAAAGUGCUAAGGCAGUUCAUGAUUUUAAUGGUAUCGUGAAUAUUCUGUUGCAUCAUCCGUAUCAUGUUGACUCACUCAUUACAUUAGCUGAAUAUUACAAAUUCAGUGGUGAACAACAAAUGUCGGCUGAUUGUACUGCAAGAUGUCUGUAUGCAUUGGAAUGUGCUUGGCAUCCAAUGUUCACUCCUUUAGUGGGCAACUGUCAACUUAAGUUUAGUUGUGAAAUCAACAAACCGUUGUUCUCUGUGCUUUUCUCCCACAUGAAAAACAUGGAUAGACGUGGUUGUCAUCGGUCUGCCCUUGAGCUCUGCAAAUUGUUGCUCCUACUAGAUCCAGACGAUCCAAUGGGUG
RNAcentral lists this unclassified non-coding RNA (637 nucleotides) under Hevea brasiliensis (rubber tree). The record is from RNAcentral. Lineage: Eukaryota; Viridiplantae; Streptophyta; Magnoliopsida; Malpighiales; Euphorbiaceae.